This 477-nucleotide ribosomal RNA is filed under the name Peptostreptococcaceae bacterium canine oral taxon 071. RNAcentral's name for it is "bacterial SSU rRNA". It matches the Rfam family "Bacterial small subunit ribosomal RNA", at positions 9 to 465 of the family's 1533-position model. The record is from RNAcentral. Lineage: Bacteria; Bacillati; Bacillota; Clostridia; Peptostreptococcales; Peptostreptococcaceae.
GAGUUUGAUCAUGGCUCAGGAUGAACGCUGGCGGCGUGCUUAACACAUGCAAGUCGAACGAAGCGAGAAGAAAGAAGUUUUUCGAAAUGGAUUUUUUCUUUGCUUAGUGGCGGACGGGUGCGUAACACGUAGGUAACCUGCCCUGUGCUUGGGAAUAACUCCGGGAAACCGGUGCUAAUGCCGAAUAAUAUCGCCUAUCGGCAUCGAGAGGCGAUCAAAGAAUGUCGGCACAGGAUGGGCCUGCGCCGGAUUAGCUGGUUGGUGAGGUAACGGCUCACCAAGGCGACGAUCCGUAGCCGACCUGAGAGGGUGAUCGGCCACACUGGAACUGAGACACGGUCCAGACUCCUACGGGAGGCAGCAGUGGGGAAUAUUGCACAAUGGGGGAAANCCCUGAUGCAGCAACGCCGCGUGAGCGAUGAAGGCUUUCGAGUCGUAAAGCUCUGUCCUAUGGGAAGAUGAUGANCGUACNUAGAG